GACGAACGCUGGCGGCGUGCUUAACACAUGCAAGUCGAACGGAAAGGCCCUGCUUGCAGGGUACUCGAGUGGCGAACGGGUGAGUAACACGUGGGUGAUCUGCCCUGCACUUCGGGAUAAGCCUGGGAAACUGGGUCUAAUACCGGAUAGGAGCCAUUUUUAGUGUGAUGGUUGGAAAGUUUUUUCGGUGUAGGAUGAGCUCGCGGCCUAUCAGCUUGUUGGUGGGGUAAUGGCCUACCAAGGCGGCGACGGGUAGCCGGCCUGAGAGGGUGGACGGCCACAUUGGGACUGAGAUACGGCCCAGACUCCUACGGGAGGCAGCAGUGGGGAAUAUUGCACAAUGGGCGCAAGCCUGAUGCAGCGACGCCGCGUGGGGGAUGACGGCCUUCGGGUUGUAAACUCCUUUCGCUAGGGACGAAGCCUUUUGUGACGGUACCUAGAGAAGAAGCACCGGCUAACUACGUG
RNAcentral lists this ribosomal RNA (465 nucleotides) under uncultured bacterium. Its description in RNAcentral is "partial 16S ribosomal RNA". It matches the Rfam family "Bacterial small subunit ribosomal RNA", at positions 28 to 507 of the family's 1533-position model. The record is from RNAcentral.